UACGAGUGCCCCGAGCGUUAUCCGGAAUUAUUGGGCGUAAAGAGCUCGUAGGCGGUUUGUCGCGUCUGCUGUGAAAACCUAAGGCUCAACCUUGGGCUUGCAGUGGGUACGGGCAGACUAGAGUGCGGUAGGGGUGACUGGAAUUCCUGGUGUAGCGGUGGAAUGCGCAGAUAUCAGGAGGAACACCGAUGGCGAAGGCAGGUCACUGGGCCGCAACUGACGCUGAGGAGCGAAAGCAUGGGGAGCGAACAGG
This 253-nucleotide ribosomal RNA is filed under the name uncultured bacterium. Its description in RNAcentral is "partial 16S ribosomal RNA". It matches the Rfam family "Bacterial small subunit ribosomal RNA", at positions 524 to 776 of the family's 1533-position model. The record is from RNAcentral.